Molecule: non-coding RNA, 525 nt
Organism: Cinara cedri
Lineage: Eukaryota; Metazoa; Arthropoda; Insecta; Hemiptera; Aphididae
Source: the annotation of a GenBank genome assembly
UUGCAACUACACUCGUUAUUAUGAAAAUACUUUUUUACAAUUAAAAACCGACGUUUUUCACAAGAAAUAUAUUUUUUCUACUUCAAUACUUGCAACAAAUUAUACUAAACAAUUUUUUUUUUUUUUUUAAUUUUCCAAACUAAUUAAUAUACUCGACAUUUUAAAAUCGUUGUUCUCUUUUUCCGUUGUUCUUUCUUACCGAUUACCCCCCAUGAACGGCAAACGAUUUUUCAACGCGCCCCCGUACGGAAAUCCCGCGUGUCGGCGCCAAUGACCGUCGAUAAUUCGCCGUGACAGACAGAUAAAAAUUGUAUGGACAUUUUCGCGUCACGACGGAUAAUAAUACGGGCGUUACACGAACGGGUGUGGGCCGGCGAGUCGUUGUCUUCGACCAUUUCCGGCGGAUCGGGGCAAAAAUAGCGCGCGCGAUCCGCACGUCCCCGCGAUCGUUUUCCAGCACCGCAUACGGACCGUACAUUACCAACGAUCACACUCGUUGCCCGCGGCGUUCGUGGGUAGAAACGG